UGUGUUUCUUUGGACAGUAAUCACGGGACCCAGAUGCUAAGGGACACUGUGGCUUGUUUCAAAAUCUGUUUCUGAUGACCAGUCCUUUCUGGUUCCUGGCUUUUUGAAGAUGUGUGCCUGUUACCUGGGGUUUGCAGGACUGGACCUGUAGAUCAUGAGCUCUUUCACCCAUAGUUUUUAAAAAUCUGAUAUGAAAUGGUGUGAGUCUGGAGGAAAUUGUCGUUUUAAGUGCUCCCAGCUUCUCCGCAUAGUGCUUCAGUCCCGAAAAAGUUUCUUCAAAGAAACUCCCAGCCUGGAACUGGUGCAGCUUUGCAGAGUGGAGCUCUCACUGUACUUCAAAGCGGAGAAAAUCUCGCAGCUGUCUGGAGCC
Long non-coding RNA from Calidris pugnax (ruff), 370 nucleotides. RefSeq lists it as uncharacterized. Lineage: Eukaryota; Metazoa; Chordata; Aves; Charadriiformes; Scolopacidae. The record is from RefSeq and is a predicted model, not a curated record. The transcript is spliced from 3 exons.